AGCCUGAUGCAGCCAUGCCGCGUGUAUGAAGAAGGCCUUCGGGUUGUAAAGUACUUAGAGGGAAGGUGGUGUCUUAAUACGCAUCAUUUGACGAGCUGCAGAAGAAGCACCGGCUAACUCCGUGCCAGCAGCCGCGGUAAUACGGAGGGUGCGAGCGUUAAUCGGAAUUACUGGGCGUAAAGCGCAUGCAGGUGGUUUGUUAAGUCAGAUGUGAAAGCCCGGGGCUCAACCUCGGAAUUGCAUUUGAAACUGGCAGACUAGAGUACUGUAGAGGGGGGUAGAAUUUCAGGUGUAGCGGUGAAAUGCGUAGAGAUCUGAAGGAAUACCGGUGGCGAAGGCGGCCCCCUGGACAGAUACUGACACUCAGAUGCGAAAGCGUGGGGAGCAAACAGGUUAGAUACCCUGGUAGUCCACGCCGUAAACGGCCUUGUUGUGGCCUUGAGCCGUGGCUUUCGGAGCUAACGCGUUAAGUAGACCGCCUGG
This 483-nucleotide ribosomal RNA is filed under the name Vibrio sp. 2WN11. RNAcentral describes it as "bacterial SSU rRNA". It matches the Rfam family "Bacterial small subunit ribosomal RNA", at positions 380 to 876 of the family's 1533-position model. The record is from RNAcentral. Lineage: Bacteria; Pseudomonadati; Pseudomonadota; Gammaproteobacteria; Vibrionales; Vibrionaceae.